CUUACCAGGUCCAGACACAGUUAGGAUUGACAGAUUGAAAGCUCUUUCUUGAUUCUGUGGGUGGUGGUGCAUGGCCGUUCUUAGUUGGUGGAGUGAUUUGUCUGGUUAAUUCCGAUAACGAACGAGACCUCAGCCUAUUAAUUAAAUAAAAGAAUAUAAGCGUUUAUAAGGGUUUAAUAUAAAAUUAAUAAAUUUCAUUUUUGGAAUUUAUUUUUUAUAUUAAAAACUUGUUUAUAUUUAUUUUUAUUUUCUUAAAGGGACACUUGGUGUUUAACCAAGGGAAGUUUGAGGCAAUAACAGGUCUGUGAUGCCCUUUAGAUGUUCUGGGCCGCACGCGCGCUACACUGAUAAAAUCAAUAAGUUUUUUAAUUUAAUUCCUUGACUGAAAAGUUUGGGUAAACUUUGAAAAUUUUAUCGUGCUGGGGAUUGACAAUUGUAAUUACUUGUCAUGAACGAGGAAUUCCUAGUAAACGUAAGUCAUCAGCUUACGUUGAUUACGUCCCUGCCCUUUGUACACACCGCCCGUC
This 527-nucleotide ribosomal RNA is filed under the name Korotnevella heteracantha. RNAcentral describes it as "bacterial SSU rRNA". It matches the Rfam family "Eukaryotic small subunit ribosomal RNA", at positions 1214 to 1677 of the family's 1831-position model. The record is from RNAcentral. Lineage: Eukaryota; Discosea; Flabellinia; Dactylopodida; Paramoebidae.